AAGAGUGACCAAAAAAUGGCUAGACUAAUGGCUAUACCAACCACCCCCAAACCUGCCCCCACCGGCACAAACAAAAACCGAAUUCUUCGUUCGGGACGAAGAGGCCGCGGGUUCAAAUCCCGCCACCC
This 128-nucleotide transfer RNA is filed under the name Mobiluncus curtisii. Its description in RNAcentral is "tRNA-OTHER". The record is from RNAcentral. Lineage: Bacteria; Bacillati; Actinomycetota; Actinomycetes; Actinomycetales; Actinomycetaceae.